This 620-nucleotide ribosomal RNA is filed under the name Lepetodrilus fucensis. RNAcentral's name for it is "SSU rRNA". It matches the Rfam family "Eukaryotic small subunit ribosomal RNA", at positions 1165 to 1785 of the family's 1831-position model. The record is from RNAcentral. Lineage: Eukaryota; Metazoa; Mollusca; Gastropoda; Lepetellida; Lepetodrilidae.
CACCACCAGGAGUGGAGCCUGCGGCUUAAUUUGACUCAACACGGGGAAACUCACCCGGUCCGGACACUGGAAGGAUUGACAGAUUAAAAGCUCUUUCUUGAUUCAGUGGGUGGUGGUGCAUGGCCGUUCUUAGUUGGUGGAGUGAUUUGUCUGGUUAAUUCCGAUAACGAACGAGACUCUAGCCUGCUAACUAGUUCGCCGGCAGCUCUUGUCGCGCGGCGCCGCUUCGGCGGCAAACUUCUUAGAGGGACAGGUGGCGUUUAGCCACACGAAGUAGAGCAAUAACAGGUCUGUGAUGCCCUUAGAUGUCCGGGGCCGCACGCGCGCUACACUGAAAGAAUCAACGUGGAUGCCCACCUGCUCCGAGAGGAGUGGGAAACCCGAUGAAUCUCUUUCGUGAUGGGGAUUGGGGCUUGUAAUUGUUCCCCAUGAACGAGGAAUUCCCAGUAAGCGUCAGUCAUCAGCUGGCGCUGAUUACGUCCCUGCCCUUUGUACACACCGCCCGUCGCUACUACCGAUUGAAUGGUUUAGUGAGACCCUCGGACUGGAGUCCGUCCGCCGCUUUCGGGUGGUGGAUGGGGACGGAAAGACGGUCGAACUUGAUCAUUUAGAGGAAGUAA